UACGGAGGGUGCGAGCGUUACCCGGAUUUACUGGGUGUAAAGGGCGUGUAGGCGGUCUCUCAAGUCCGAUGCUAAAGACCGAGGGUCAUCCUCGGGAGUGCGUUGGAUACUGUGAGGCUAGACGGUCGGAGAGGGCGGCGGAAUUCUCGGAGUAGCGGUGAAAUGCGCAGAUACCGAGAAGAACGCCAAUAGCGAAGGCAGCUGCCUGGACGGUUUGUGACGCUGAGGCGCGAAUUCGUGGGUAACAAAGCGG
This 253-nucleotide ribosomal RNA is filed under the name uncultured bacterium. RNAcentral's name for it is "partial 16S ribosomal RNA". It matches the Rfam family "Bacterial small subunit ribosomal RNA", at positions 524 to 776 of the family's 1533-position model. The record is from RNAcentral.